AGUUCCCAUUGUGGUUCAGCAGUAAUGAACCCAGCUAGUAUUCAUGAAGAUGCAGUUAAAUGCCUGGCCCCAUUCAGUGUGUUAAGGUCCCACAUCACCAUGAGCUGUAGUGUAAGUCGCAGAUGCAGCUCAGCCUGCAUUGCUAUGGCUGUGGUGUAGCCGGCAGCCACAGCUCCUAUUUAUCCCCCAGCCUGGGAACUUCCAUAUGCCAUAGGUAUGGCCUAAAAAGACCAAAAAAGAAAGAAAAAGAAAAAGGAGGAGUGUUUCCAAAGAAGAUAUCUUGUCUGUGUUCUGAUUCUGUCGAAUCCCACUGGACAUCUAUCUUUGGGUAUCCCACCAGUAUCUCAAACUCAGCAUUUCCACCCCACCCCAAACUUGUGUUUCUGUCUCAGCUUCCUUUCUUAACAAAUGGCACCAUAAUCCACCUACAUUCCUAAACCAAAAAUCUGGGCAGGAUGCUGAAUCAUGUCAUUUCUUUAUCCUCUCAUUCUAUUGCCAAGUUCUGUUCAUUGUGUUUUUUAAAAAUAGGAAUAUUACAUUUCUCCUGAGAAUCUUACCCUGAGAACCGAAGUCCAGGUUGGCUGCCCUGCUGUAUCAAUCAGUAUCCCAUUAGGAAGAGAGAAAUUCCAGCAGGUAUUACAGCAUAGGGGAUUUAAUACAAGGAAUAAACUACACAGAGCAAGAAUUGAGAAGUUGAGGCAGCUGAAAGAAUGACAGGAAGCUAACUACCACCUCUAGAGAUUGAGGAACAACUCAAAGAUAUGUCAUCACUAGAACCAGGGGUAUACUGGUUAGUGGUUAAUAUCCUGCUCUCUGAGGAAUAUCAAAACUUGUUUGUCAAUUUCUAUGAUGUAAAUAUCCCACCAUGGCUGGUUUCAAGUUACCAACUCAACAUUAAAUACAGAGUAGGGAAGAGAUGCACAGAUGCAGUCCUUCUGAGCUGGCAUACCAGAAACCAGAAGCUGGACUGCUCAAGCAGAAUUUGGAGCUGUGGAGGAGAGGCAGCUAUUUCCAAAGAGGCUACCUAAGUAGGACAAAGAGAUAGAUACCUUGAGUUCUCCAAUUCUUCACCUGCCAUUCUCUUUUCAGUGCCCCUCUUUGGCCCAAAGCAGCCAAAUUCAAGCUUAGCCUGGAAAUGCAGCCUAAAAGUUGGGAUUUCCUCAGACACAGAUUGGAGCCCAGAAAGGCAAGGAAUGUACACAAAAUCAGAUGAGUAAGACUAAUGGAUCACUUCCUCCUCCAUUAAAACUGGUCCAUAAGCUGUCAGAGGACAGGGACCCCUUCAAACUUCAGAGUCUGGCAUUCUAUCAGCAUCAUAUAUUUUGCAGAAUAAGUGAAUGACUGAUUAGCAGAUAUAACAUCAGAAUUUAAUAAGCAGAAAAUCUAUGCCUCUUCGUGUAUAUAUGACUUGCUGUCAAAUAGCCACAUUUAUUGAUGUAGUGGAGCUGUAACUUGACACAAUAGCAUAUAACAGUGUUAUACUGUUUGACUUUUUAAAAAUUCCCAUUAGUGCCUUAGCCCUUUGAUCCCAUCACAUACAACUUGUGGGAAAACAGGAAGCUUUUGUUUGAUCUAGUAACUCUUGCUAUUUGAAAAUUUCCAAAUUAUUCGCACAUCUAUGCUUUAGCAAUUAUCUUUAACCUAGUGCAUUCUGCAAGUUUCCCUUUCCAGAUGGUUCUGACAACUCCAAAGACCUUGGUUAAAAAUCUUCAUCUCUAUUGCUUGUUCCUGCCAGUGGACAAAAGGUUUCAAUUUUCACCAGUCUCCUGCCUGAUCCAACUUCUAUUUCUAACUACAUUCAGCGGUCAAAUAUAUUUCAUCUGAAGGACUAUCUGUGGUAGAAUUUUCCUGCGGAUCUUAUCCCAGUGGAGCCUCUGCUUCAUGUGGCUACUUUUGUUCAAAAAUGUAUUCUGAAUGAUUUGUAAGUCUUGUCAAAGAUAAACAAAACCGUACACUAGCUAUGACGGUAAGGACGGAACUUAUUUGGUAAUAUGUCACUGUGAUAGGGAAAAGAGUCCGAGAGCAGACUGUCCUCAACUUUGAUUUGCAUAGUGGUGACUGGAUAUUUUCGAGGAAGAAUGAGGAAAUAAAGAGAGGAGUGAGCAGGGAUUCAACAGAGCAAGGAAGAGAAGAACUGUAAAAAACAAGAAAAGGAGGUUGGUGCAUGUGAAACACAAGUGGGUUUAUUAACUGGCUUAUAGAAGUUAGCUCCUACCUGCCCAGAGAGGGCAGGAGACAAAGGCCUUGUUUUCAGGUGUUGGUUGGAAAAAACAGUCUUAGGGCAGCUAUGAGUUCUCUCAGGUAGGCUCUUUAUUUUUUAAUUAAUUAAUUAUUUAUUUAUUUAUUUAUUUUGCUUUUUUAGGCCCAAACCUACACUAUAUGGAAGUUCCCAGGCUAGGGGUCCAAUUAGAGCUGCAGUUUUCAACCUACACCACAGACACAGCAACAUGGCAUCCGAACCUCAUGUGCAACCUACACCAUAGCUCAGGGCAAUGCUGGAUCCCUGACCCACUGAACAAGGCCAGGGUUCAAACCUGCGUAGUCAUGGAUACUAGCCUGGUUCUUAACCCACUAAGCUACAACAGGAACUCUUCAGGCAGGCACUUUAAGGGGGGACCCGGGUCACUGAGCUAUAAAAAACCAUGUUAAUGUUUUGUUCAAGUUGUUACAGGCCAAGGUUGGGUCUGAUCCAGAAUAGUGCUCAGAGGAGCCAGGCUAGAGUUUGGCCAAAGAGUCUUUGUCAAAGUACAUUCUGCGCUCUUCACUCUCACCAGAUCCCUCUCCACCAGAUCCCUCUCUGUUGGAAAGGCAGCAGGUCAUCACAGUCAGAGUUAUGUGCCUCCCCUCCCCAUCUUACAGCAUAAACUAUCUAAGAGCAGGGCCUAGGGGUGCUUUCCUUUCCACCUACUGCUGUGAAUGUAUCCUUUUUUUUCACAUUCAUUGCCACCUAGGGAUGGACCAAGUGGUGGGUGAGGUCUUCCUCAGGGGCAGGCAGUAAAGGGGUGUAUAUAGUCUCGGCAAAUUUUAAAACAUCUGAUUUUCAUUAUUAUCGCUCUUAACAAGGUCUGUGACAAAAAUCCUCCUCCCUCCAAUCUGUCAUUGAUCUGAAUUCUGAGUAGAUUCUCUGGCUACGGUAAGGUUUUGGUAAUAAUGUUUCUAAGCUUCCAAUUAGCACAUUUUUAUUACCUAUCCUUUAAUAAAUAUUGUAUUUUUACAGGGAGGUUCAUUUGGAGAAUUCCCAGUUGUACAGUCAGCUUUUAACAUGUAUGGACUCAGCAUAAGCUUUCAUUUUAAAAUAACUUUAUAAUGGUUCAGAAAUCAGUUGAGCUCUCUUUGGAUGCUGAAGGUAUCUUUCAGUCUUUCAUUUAAACAGUAGAUUCAAAAUAAAUGAUGACGGCCCAUCUAUUGUAAAAGAAGCAGAACCUGAGUUUCUUUAAUUCUGUCAUUCUCUGUGACGACUUGGAGUCUAUACUUGUGUAAAAACAUUACAAAAGUGAAAUGGAAUGUGGACCAUUAAGUAAAACAUUCCAGUUGCUAAGUUUAAUUUUUAAUUUAUACAAAUUGAAUAGUACCUUUAAAAUUGUAAUUUAUUUUUUAAUUCGUAAUAGUUUUAAAACUAAAAAAUGAAUCAAGAAAACCAAAUGUCCCAAUAGUUUUGUCACUGUUUUUGCCUACAUUUGGUUUUAAUUAAAUUCAUUAACUAAUUGUCAGAAAAUUACUUACAUAAGAUACUAUGAUAGAAUUAUAACCAGAUUAGAUUAAAGUUUAAACUGUCAAAUAGAUAUAAAAGCAACUGAAUGGAGUUCCCAUCAUGGAUCAGCAGAAACAAAUCUGACUAGCAUAACACAGCUUCCAUCCUUGGCCUCACUCAGAGAGUUAAGGAUCCAGCAUUGCCGUGAGCUGUGAUAUAGGUCCCACACACAGCUCGGAUUCCCAGUUGCUGUGGCAGUGGCAUUGGCCAGUGGCUACAGCUCCGAUUUGACUCCCUAGCCUGGGAACUUCCAUAUGCC
Molecule: long non-coding RNA, 4010 nt
Filed under: Sus scrofa (pig)
Lineage: Eukaryota; Metazoa; Chordata; Mammalia; Artiodactyla; Suidae
Description: lncRNA (ENSSSCG00000060114.1)
Source: RNAcentral